Long non-coding RNA from Homo sapiens (human), 772 nucleotides. Ensembl annotates it as MIR9-1 host gene. Its record names the gene MIR9-1HG. NCBI's taxonomy places the organism in Eukaryota, Metazoa, Chordata, Mammalia, Primates, Hominidae. The record is from Ensembl.
GAGGCAGUCCAGCCGCAGGGGCCACCCGAACAGUCUCUCCUCCUCACAGAAGCCUGCUUCUCACCUGGGGCGGGUGGGUUCUGCACCACCCUCCCACCCUCCUUCCUCCGUGUGGACGAUAGAGCCACAUCCAGCACCACGGACAGCUCCCGGGCGCCUUCAUCUCCUCGUCCUCCAGGCAGCACAAGCCAUUGUGGAAUCUCCACCAGGUGUACAGAACGGUGCCUCUGCGUCCUGCCACUCAGGACCUCUCAAGUCCCCGAUGUGAUGGCUCCUCAGCAUGAUCAGGAGUGAGCGUAAUUCAGACCUAUUUAGAUCCGUCAGCCCACGGACCAGGGGGACCUUGAGCAGGACAGUCUUUUGUCUCCAAGCAGUCAUUCCCUGUUAUACAAGCAAGAGUCAGGAGGAGGAAUGGUUUUGGCAUCAUCCCCCACAGACAGCAAUGGGGCCUUUAGGCCUGGAAGGAAGGACCAGGCUGCGGCUGGCAUAUGGAGGUUGAGCCCUGGGCACGGGGCAUCAGCUUCACCCGGCUGGGGAUGCCUUCUGCUGGGUUUGUCCAUCUGGCACCAGCUGGCUUCCCAGCACCGCCCCCACAACCAACCAGACUCCUCCUUCUGCUGUUGCCAUGGCAAUUGGCUGCCAUAUUGUACCUCAGAGCACUAGCUCCUAUCUGGAUUUUCCCGCGGGGUUCCUAGAGGGUGGGAGAUGGGUCUCCAGGGAUUUAUCCCUUUCCCCUGAUAUCUAUCCAAUAAAAAUUCAUAAUAACAUAUGA